RNAcentral lists this ribosomal RNA (603 nucleotides) under uncultured bacterium. Its description in RNAcentral is "bacterial SSU rRNA". It matches the Rfam family "Bacterial small subunit ribosomal RNA", at positions 30 to 622 of the family's 1533-position model. The record is from RNAcentral.
UAUACGCUGGCGGCAGGCCUAUCACAUGCACGUCGUACCAAGGUAACCGUAAGCUUGCUCCUUUGCUGACGAGUGGCGGACGGGUGAGUAAUGUCUGGGAAACUGCCUGAUGGAGGGGGAUAACUACUGGAAACGGUAGCUAAUACCGCAUAACGUCGCAAGACCAAAGAGGGGGACCUUCGGGCCUCUUGCCAUCAGAUGUGCCCAGAUGGGAUUAGCUAGUAGGUGGGGUAACGGCUCACCUAGGCGACGAUCCCUAGCUGGUCUGAGAGGAUGACCAGCCACACUGGAACUGAGACACGGUCCAAACUCCUACGGGAGGCAGCAGUGGGGAAUAUUGCACAAUGGGCGCAAGCCUGAUGCAGCCAUGCCGCGUGUAUGAAGAAGGCCUUCGGGUUGUAAAGUACUUUCAGCGGGGAGGAAGGCGGUGAGGUUAAUAACCUCCCCGAUUGACGUUACCCGCAGAAGAAGCACCGGCUAACUCCGUGCCAGCAGCCGCGGUAAUACGGAGGGUGCAAGCGUUAAUCGGAAUUACUGGGCGUAAAGCGCACGCAGGCGGUCUGUCAAGUCGGAUGUGAAUCCCCCGGGCUCAACCUGGGAACU